Papaver somniferum (opium poppy) is the source of this 4299-nucleotide long non-coding RNA. RefSeq lists it as uncharacterized. The record is from RefSeq and is a predicted model, not a curated record. The transcript is spliced from 2 exons. Lineage: Eukaryota; Viridiplantae; Streptophyta; Magnoliopsida; Ranunculales; Papaveraceae.
CCUCUUCUUCAGAGCAAAAGAAAUAUGCAUUUCUUAUCAAACAGAGGUCUUGUCUUAGCAACAGUUUCUCUAGAAUGGGAAUGGACGAUACUGUGAUUGAAUUUAUGAAAGUUGUUUCAUGCGAUUCUGCAUUAUUCUUGGCAUCUCAAUAUGACAGCAACAAGGAAGCGGAGAUGGGCAGUUGCUGGUGGUGUUUGGUGGUCUGAAAUGUGGGUCUGAUCUGAAAUUUGAGAUGGAAAUGAACAAGGAAUUAAAGGGGUUCGAUUCAUUGAAGUGCAAGGACUGGAUUCAGCCAAGAAUCAAUGAGAAGAUUAAGCAACAGAUUUUGGGGAUUUCUAGUUUUGAUAUGGACUGGUCUCGGCAGAUUUGUACUGGGAAUUUUGGUUUCAAUUGAGAAGUAUGCAAACAACAAUGGAGUCUAGGAAACGACAAGGAAGAUGGAGAUGACGAAGAGCGGUGUUGGAGUUCAGUUAAAAGGGAGUGGAAUUCAGGAAGACAAGCAGAUGUUGAGAGCGAGAUUUGGGGAAUUUAUGGUCUGAAAUUAAAUCUCUAAAUUGAGAAUCAAGCACAACAAUGAUGGCAGGAGUGGGAGACUAUGCUGGCUAAGAGGUGCUGGGGCCGUUGGUUAAAUGGACAGGGUAAUGGAGUUGGUAGAACCAGGAUUUGGAAAUUGCCUCAAUCUGGAAACUGGAGGUAAUAAUGGAUCAGAUUGACUGGGCUUUGGCAAUAUCUGCUAGGUCUCAGUCAAAUGUCUACAACAGCUGCUAUAUAAACAAGAACAGAGGAAGAUGGGAGAGGAUGCCGUUUACAGGGAAGAAACUAGGUUUAAGCUUUCUUUCGUUAUGCUUAGCUUGUUAUUUCCUUUAUCAGUUUUUAUGGAUUUUAAGAAAACCAUGGUUUGCUAAACUACUGUUAGGGUGAAAGGAUGAACUUGUAGGCUAGAUCAUUUGUGUUUAUGAACAAGAUUUUCUUUAAAUCAAAAGCUUAAUUUUCUGUUUGAGUAUCUCAUAUUUGUGAUUGUUCUUAUAGAUCUUUUCAUGUUUUAUGCCAAGUAUGCUACAUAGGUAAGCUAUAGACAAUCCCAUUGUGACCUGAUUGAUAAUAGAUUUGUGAAUACUCUUUUACUUUGUAUGCCAAGUAUACAUAGUGAUUAGAGGUUCUACUUUUAGUUCGAGAUCAAGCAAUCUUUCGUCGAUUAUUAUCAAUAAAUCUUAACGACAUAUCUUCCAUGUUUAAGUAGCCAGGCGUUGCCGCUUUACAUGAGUAAAAUAGAGACUCUCGUGAUAAAUCACAAGUACACUUUAAUAUCUUAGUUUGCAUUCUGGUUUCUUUGUAUCACAUCUGAAAUCUUCCAAUUGAAUUGAUCUUGAUUAGAAAGGUGAUAGUAUUAGUUAGAAGUAAGUUAGAACACUCCUCGUGGGAACGAAUCACAUUUGCUACUGUGUACAAUUUCGACACCGCGCACUUGCGGUAAAACAAAGUCGGUUAUCCGACUCAUCAAGUUUUUGGUGCCGCUUCCGGGGAGUGGCUGCUAGCUACUUUAGUUGAUACUUUUGAAUUUCUGAUUGUAGCUUAGAUUUAUUUUUGUUUUGGUUUGUAUUUUGUUUUUAGCUUUAUUUUGAAUAGAUUUUUUUUUUAGACUUCUUUUUAGAUCCUUUUUAUCUCUUUAGUUUGUUUGAUUUUUCAGGUACCAUAGGAGCUAAAGAUUGCUCAGCCACAUAAGUUCUGUGAACUAAAGUGUUAAUCUAGGAGCGUCGCGAGUUCUUAGUUGCAGCUGAACUUGUGUGUUGGGUUGAUCUCCAACUUUUCAGGCUUUACAUAUAUGCUGGCAGGUUGCUAUUAUGCAUCAUUCUUCACUUUGGAUGAGAUUACUUGCUGCGCGCAAGCUGGGAAACAAAUAUCAUUCGUGGAGUCAACCCACCAGAUUUGUUCCUUUUUCUUUAUCUUUUAAUCUUUUAUGUGUUUGCUUGCGAAUUUUCCCACCUUGUUUUUUACGAUGGAUGAUUCAAUUAUAUUGGGGACAAUGUAAUGAUUAAGUGUGGGGUAGCGGUUAACACUUUAGAUUUUUGUAGGUUAUUCACUUUUAUUUCAUGACCAGCUGUGGAGCGGAUCUCUAAAAAAAAAUGCACAACAUGACCGGUUGUUGAGCGGGUGUAAAAAAAUUUCUUUUGUAUAACAUGACCAGCUGUUGAGCGGGUCAUUCUGUUUAUCAGUCUCGCUGUUUAGCAGACUUCUUUAAGCCAAUGUUUAGUGGCUCCGUCUAGCUGUUUAGCGGACAUUACUCUACCACUGUUUAGUGGGAUCGUCUCGCUGUUUAGCAGACAUCACUCUUAUCCAGCUGUGGAGCGGAUAUAUUUUUUAUUUUGCUCGGAACUAGCAAAAAGUAAGUGUGGGGGUAUUUAAUAAGCACGUAAAUGCUACAUGUUUACUCUCACAUUUAUAUUAGCUAGGUCUCGUUAUUUACCUAAUAAUAAUGUUUUAAGGCUUUUAUAGGAAACACGAGCAAUUCCAUUCGCCUAGAGAACAAAUGGCUAAACAAGGAGCUAAUUCGCGUGUGCCACAAAGGUGAGCAAAGUCACUCAUGGCAUCACCUGCUUGGCUACAUUUCUUCACAGCCAGGGAGUUGCAAAGUUUGCCCAUGUAGACGAGCCCGGCCCACUAGUGGCUGAAGAGAAAUGCAAGACGUGGCCACUUCCUCCACCACAAUUAUCUAUGGAAUAUUAUCCUCUUCUUCGGAGCAAAAGAAAUCUGCAUUUCUUAUCAAACAGAGGUCUUGUCUUAGCAACAGUUUCUCUAGAAUGGGAAUGGACGAUACUGUGAUUGAAUUUAUGGGAGUUGUUUCAUGCGAUUCUGCAUUAUUCUUGGCAUCUCAAUAUGACAGCAACAAGGAAGCGGAGAUGGGCAGUUGCUGGUGGUGUUUGGUGGUCUGAAAUGUGGGUCUGAUCUGAAAUUUGAGAUGGAAAUGAACAAGGAAUUAAAGGGGUUCGAUUCAUUGAAGUGCAAGGACUGGAUUCAGCCAAGAAUCAAUGAGAAGAUUAAGCAACAGAUUUUGGGGAUUUCUAGUUUUGAUAUGGACUGGUCUCGGCAGAUUUGUACUGGGACUUUUGGUUUCAAUUGAGAAGUAAGCAAACAACAAUGGAGUCUGGGAAACGACAAGGAAGAUGGAGAUGACAAAGAGCGGUGUUGGAGUUCAGUUAAAAGGGAGUGGAAUUCGGGAAGACAAGCAGAUGUUGAGAGCGAGAUUUGGGGAAUUUAUGGUCUGAAAUUAAAUCUCUAAAUUGAGAAUCAAGCACAACAAUGAUGGCAGGAGUGGGUUUGAUCUGAAGCUGCUGUUAAUUGUUUGUCGAUGGAGUUCUUCUCAAAUCAGCAGCAUCGGUGUUUGAAGGUACUGUUGUGUUCAAGAUUUCCGGUGUUGCUCCCAUGGUGCAAUCUCGUUGCAGUACGGCAAUAGAUGAAACUGGGGUUGUGUUAUUGAUUAAAAUUGGGUCUGUACUGGGUCAACUGGUGAUGGUUUAACUACAACAUCAGUGGGGUUUUGAUGGUCAUCUCGGCAACAAUUGUGAGGGCAUUCUGAUGGCUAAUUCAAUUGGAUACAGUCAUGGUGUUGAGGAGAAUGAAGCUGGUGGAUGGUUGUAUUGGUGUUACUGGUGAUGACCUGGAGUCUGCUAUAGUUGGAUUUGAACAAGUACGAUGGAAAAGAGGAGCUGUGGCUAUGUAUGUAUGUUGGUUGAUCUGAAUUCGUAGUGGUGAUGAUAUUAUGAGUUUUGGCCAAACUUUGGAGUUGGUUUGAAGAUGCAAUGGAGAAUGAAUUGGCUGCAGACAAUUUGCUUAUGAUGCUGGGGUCAGUUUAACAAGAAGUGAAGAUAUGGUUUAUAAUUAGGGAGACUAUGCUGGCUAAGAGGUGCUGGGGCGGUGGUUAAGUGGACAGGGUAAUGGAGUUGGUAGAACCAGGAUUUGGAAAUUGCCUCAAUCUGGAAACUGGAGGUAGUAAUGGAUCAGAUGGACUGGGCUUUGGCAAUAUCUGCUAGGUCUCAGUCAAAUGUCUACAACAGCUGCUAUAUAAACAAGAACAGAGGCAGAUGGGAGAGGACGUCGUUUACAUUGAAGAAACUAGGUUUAAGCUUUCUUUCGCUAUGCUUAGCUUGUUAUUCCCUUUAUCAGUUUUUAUGGCUUUUGAGAAAACCAUGGUUUGCUAAACUACUGUUAGGGUGAAAGGAUGAACUUGUAGGCUAGAUCAUUUGUGUUUAUGAACAAGAGUUUCUUUAAAUCAAAAGCUUAAUUUUCUGUUUGAGUAUCUCA